RNAcentral lists this ribosomal RNA (253 nucleotides) under uncultured bacterium. Its description in RNAcentral is "partial 16S ribosomal RNA". It matches the Rfam family "Bacterial small subunit ribosomal RNA", at positions 524 to 776 of the family's 1533-position model. The record is from RNAcentral.
UACAGAGGUCUCAAGCGUUGUUCGGAUUCAUUGGGCGUAAAGGGUGCGUAGGCGGCGCGGUAAGUCGGGUGUGAAAUCUUGGAGCUUAACUCCGAAACUGCAUUCGAUACUGCCGUGCUUGAGGACUGGAGAGGAGACUGGAAUUUACGGUGUAGCGGUGAAAUGCGUAGAUAUCGGGAGGAACACCUGUGGCGAAAGCGGCGCACUGGACCACAACUGACGCUGAGGCGCGAAAGCUAGGGGAGCAAACGGG